RNAcentral lists this ribosomal RNA (490 nucleotides) under uncultured bacterium. RNAcentral's name for it is "partial 16S ribosomal RNA". It matches the Rfam family "Bacterial small subunit ribosomal RNA", at positions 30 to 507 of the family's 1533-position model. The record is from RNAcentral.
AUUGAACGCUGGCGGCAGGCCUAACACAUGCAAGUCGAACGGUAACAGAAAGCAGCUUGCUGCUUUGCUGACGAGCGGCGGACGGGUGAGUAAUGUCUGGGAAACUGCCUGAUGGAGGGGGAUAACUACUGGAAACGGUAGCUAAUACCGCAUAACGUCGCAAGACCAAAGAGGGGGACCUUCGGGCCUCUUGCCAUCGGAUGUGCCCAGAUGGGAUUAGCUAGUAGGUGGGGUAACGGCUCACCUAGGCGACGAUCCCUAGCUGGUCUGAGAGGAUGACCAGCCACACUGGAACUGAGACACGGUCCAGACUCCUACGGGAGGCAGCAGUGGGGAAUAUUGCACAAUGGGCGCAAGCCUGAUGCAGCCAUGCCGCGUGUAUGAAGAAGGCCUUCGGGUUGUAAAGUACUUUCAGCGGGGAGGAAGGGAGUAAAGUUAAUACCUUGGCUCAUUGACGUUACCCGCAGAAGAAGCACCGGCUAACUCCGUG